Molecule: long non-coding RNA, 710 nt
Filed under: Capra hircus (goat)
Lineage: Eukaryota; Metazoa; Chordata; Mammalia; Artiodactyla; Bovidae
Description: lncRNA (ENSCHIG00010010728.1)
Source: RNAcentral
AUGAGCUGGAAAGGAAACAGACAACUACAACAAAAUGGCUCAAAAUCCAACCUUUCUAACCUGAAGAAUGGUUCCUUCCCUCUCAGUCACACAACCCCGCAACCCAGUGGCUGCACAAAAGGAGGGACAUUUUCUAAUUGCUCAGUGCCGCUCUGUACUUUGACGCUGAAAAUGUUGAUUUGCUUUUUGGAAGUCAGUUUAAAUGGCGCCCCCUUUCGACAGGAAAACUUGCCACAUUUUAAGCAGCUGGCUCCUGAUUCUCGUGGAUGCCACCUGAGAGGAGCGCCGUCUUUCGAACACUCAGAAUUUAGUUGUGUAUGGAAGGAUGCCGAAUGUGUGGCAGAGGUAUGUGUUUGGCAGAGGAGAGAUCUCUGCAUUGUCUUCAAGGAAGAAGGACUAACUAACCCUUGGUAAGGAGGAUUGGGCUACUUCUAAAAAGCUGAAAGGAUCUUGGGAAGUCUGGAGAUUUAGAUGUUCUAAUGUAUCCCUUGGAGAAGAAAAUGGCAGCCCACUCCAGUAUUCUUGCCUGGGAAGUCCCAUAGACUGAAGAGCCUGGCAGGCUACAGUCCAUGGGGUCGCAGAGUCAGACACGACUUAGCGACUCAACAGCAACAACAAUGCAUCCCACCAGAUGUCUCCAUCCAAUGUCUCAAUAUUCUGUUCUUUUCCAAUUGAGGCCAUGACCUAGGCACAGAAGAUAAUCUGGUUUG